GACGAACGCUGGCGGCGUGCCUAAUACAUGCAAGUAGAACGCUGAAGAGAGGAGCUUGCUCUUCUUGGAUGAGUUGCGAACGGGUGAGUAACGCGUAGGUAACCUGCCUUGUAGCGGGGGAUAACUAUUGGAAACGAUAGCUAAUACCGCAUAACAAUGGAUGACACAUGUCAUUUAUUUGAAAGGGGCAAUUGCUCCACUACAAGAUGGACCUGCGUUGUAUUAGCUAGUAGGUGAGGUAACGGCUCACCUAGGCGACGAUACAUAGCCGACCUGAGAGGGUGAUCGGCCACACUGGGACUGAGACACGGCCCAGACUCCUACGGGAGGCAGCAGUAGGGAAUCUUCGGCAAUGGGGGCAACCCUGACCGAGCAACGCCGCGUGAGUGAAGAAGGUUUUCGGAUCGUAAAGCUCUGUUGUAAGUCAAGAACGAGUGUGAGAGUGGAAAGUUCACACUGUGACGGUAGCUUACCAGAAAGGGACGGCUAACUACGUGCCAGCAGCCGCGGUAAUACGUAGGUCCCGAGCGUUGUCCGGAUUUAUUGGGCGUAAAGCGAGCGCAGGCGGUUUGAUAAGUCUGAAGUUAAAGGCUGUGGCUCAACCAUAGUUCGCUUUGGAAACUGUCAAACUUGAGUGCAGAAGGGGAGAGUGGAAUUCCAUGUGUAGCGGUGAAAUGCGUAGAUAUAUGGAGGAACACCGGUGGCGAAAGCGGCUCUCUGGUCUGUAACUGACGCUGAGGCUCGAAAGCGUGGGGAGCGAACAGGGUUAGAUACCCUGGUAGUCCACGCCGUAAACGAUGAGUGCUAGGUGUUGGAUCCUUUCCGGGAUUCAGUGCCGCAGCUAACGCAUUAAGCACUCCGCCUGGGGAGUACGACCGCAAGGUUGAAACUCAAAGGAAUUGACGGGGGCCCGCACAAGCGGUGGAGCAUGUGGUUUAAUUCGAAGCAACGCGAAGAACCUUACCAGGUCUUGACAUCCCGAUGCUAUUUCUAGAGAUAGAAAGUUACUUCGGUACAUCGGUGACAGGUGGUGCAUGGUUGUCGUCAGCUCGUGUCGUGAGAUGUUGGGUUAAGUCCCGCAACGAGCGCAACCCCUAUUGUUAGUUGCCAUCAUUCAGUUGGGCACUCUAGCGAGACUGCCGGUAAUAAACCGGAGGAAGGUGGGGAUGACGUCAAAUCAUCAUGCCCCUUAUGACCUGGGCUACACACGUGCUACAAUGGUUGGUACAACGAGUUGCGAGUCGGUGACGGCAAGCUAAUCUCUUAAAGCCAAUCUCAGUUCGGAUUGUAGGCUGCAACUCGCCUACAUGAAGUCGGAAUCGCUAGUAAUCGCGGAUCAGCACGCCGCGGUGAAUACGUUCCCGGGCCU
RNAcentral lists this ribosomal RNA (1369 nucleotides) under uncultured bacterium. RNAcentral's name for it is "bacterial SSU rRNA". It matches the Rfam family "Bacterial small subunit ribosomal RNA", at positions 28 to 1381 of the family's 1533-position model. The record is from RNAcentral.